Molecule: ribosomal RNA, 635 nt
Filed under: uncultured bacterium
Lineage: Bacteria
Description: bacterial SSU rRNA
Rfam family: Bacterial small subunit ribosomal RNA
Source: RNAcentral
ACUGACGCUAAGGCGUGAAAGCGUGGGGAGCAAACGGGAUUAGAUACCCCGGUAGUCCACGCCCUAAACGAUGUUCACUAGUCGUCGGGAUGCUAGUCAUCUCGGUGAUGCACUUAACAGAUUAAGUGAACCGCCUGGGGAGUACGGUCGCAAGAUUAAAACUCAAAGGAAUAGACGGGGACCCGCACAAGUGGUGGAGCAUGUGGUUUAAUUCGAAGAUACGCGAAGAACCUUACCUAGCCUUGACAUUGAUAGAAUACACCAGAGAUGGAGUAGUGCCUUUCGGGGAACUUGAAAACAGGUGCUGCACGGCUGUCGUCAGCUCGUGUCGUGAGAUGUUGGGUUAAGUCCCGCAACGAGCGCAACCCUCGUCCUUAGUUGCCAGCAGGUUAAGCUGGGCACUCUAAGGAGACUGCCUUCGUAAGGAGGAGGAAGGUGAGGACGACGUCAAGUCAUCAUGGCCCUUAUGGCUAGGGCUACACACGUGCUACAAUGGGGCGUACAGAGUGUUGCGAUACCGCGAGGUGGAGCUAAUCACUUAAAGCGUCUCUCAGUUCGGAUAGCAGUCUGCAACUCGACUGCUUGAAGCUGGAAUCACUAGUAAUCGUAGAUCAGCAAUGCUACGGUGAAUACGU